RNAcentral lists this ribosomal RNA (254 nucleotides) under uncultured bacterium. RNAcentral describes it as "partial 16S ribosomal RNA". It matches the Rfam family "Bacterial small subunit ribosomal RNA", at positions 524 to 777 of the family's 1533-position model. The record is from RNAcentral.
GACGUAGGGGGCCAGCGUUGCUCGGAAUUACUGGGCGUAAAGGGUGCGUAGGCGGGUCUUUAAGUCAGGGGUGAAAUCCUGGAGCUCAACUCCAGAACUGCCUUUGAUACUGAGGAUCUUGAGUUCGGGAGAGGUGAGUGGAACUGCGAGUGUAGAGGUGAAAUUCGUAGAUAUUCGCAAGAACACCAGUGGCGAAGGCGGCUCACUGGCCCGAUACUGACGCUGAGGCACGAAAGCGUGGGGAGCAAACAGGG